UAAUAAGUGUUUUAUGGCACUUUUUAAAUCCAUAUCCCACCUUGUGUGCAAUGUCAGUCGAUCUUCUUUCAUGGAGGAUCGACCAAACAUCAACCUUUAUCUUUUAACAUCUUUGUCUGAAAAAUAUUAUGAAUAAACAAUUCAAAAUA
Molecule: unclassified non-coding RNA, 149 nt
Filed under: soil metagenome
Description: partial internal transcribed spacer 1
Source: RNAcentral